RNAcentral lists this ribosomal RNA (188 nucleotides) under Clostridioides difficile. Its description in RNAcentral is "partial 16S ribosomal RNA". It matches the Rfam family "Bacterial small subunit ribosomal RNA", at positions 1 to 197 of the family's 1533-position model. Lineage: Bacteria; Bacillati; Bacillota; Clostridia; Peptostreptococcales; Peptostreptococcaceae. The record is from RNAcentral.
UUAUUUGAGAGUUUGAUCCUGGCUCAGGAUGAACGCUGGCGGCGUGCCUAACACAUGCAAGUUGAGCGAUUUACUUCGGUAAAGAGCGGCGGACGGGUGAGUAACGCGUGGGUAACCUACCCUGUACACACGGAUAACAUACUGAAAGGUAUGCUAAUACGGGAUAAUAUAUUUGAGAGGCAUCUCUU